AUUGAACGCUGGCGGCAUGCCUAACACAUGCAAGUCGAACGGAGGUAGGGGCAACUCUACUUCAGUGGCGGACGAGUGAGGAAUGCGUCGGAAUCUACCCUAUGGUGGGGGAUAACACAGGGAAACUUGUGCUAAUACCGCAUAAUGUCGAGAGACCAAAGCAGGGGACCGCAAGGCCUUGCGCGAUAGGAUGAGCCGACGCCCGAUUAGCUAGUUGGUAGGGUAAAGGCCUACCAAGGCGACGAUCGGUAGCUGGUCUGAGAGGAUGAUCAGCCACACUGGGACUGAGACACGGCCCAGACUCCUACGGGAGGCAGCAGUGGGGAAUAUUGGACAAUGGGCGCAAGCCUGAUCCAGCAAUGCCGCGUGUGUGAAGAAGGCCUGCGGGUUGUAAAGCACUUUUGUUCGGGAAGAAAUCAUGCUGGUUAAUACCUGGUAUGGAUGACGGUACCGAAAGAAUAAGCACCGGCUAACUUCGUGCC
Molecule: ribosomal RNA, 482 nt
Filed under: uncultured bacterium
Lineage: Bacteria
Description: bacterial SSU rRNA
Rfam family: Bacterial small subunit ribosomal RNA
Source: RNAcentral